CCUACGGGAGGCAGCAGUGAGGAAUAUUGGACAAUGGGCGCGAGCCUGAACCAGCUAAUCAGCGUGAAGGAUGACUGCCCUACGGGUUGUAAACUUCUUUUAUAAAGGAAUAAAGUGAGGCACGUGUGCCUUUUUGUAUUUACUUUAUGAUUAAGGAUCGGCUAACUCCGUGCCAGCAGCCGCGGUAAUACGGAGGAUCCGAGCGUUAUCCGGAUUUGUUGGGUUGAAAGGGAGCGUAGAUGGGUUGUUAAGUCAGUUGUGAAAGUUUGCGGCUCAACCGUAAAAUUGCAAUUGAUACUGGCAGCCUUGAGUACAGUUGAGGGAGGCGGAAUUCGUGGUGUAGCGGUGAAAUGCGUAGAUAUCACGAAGAACUCCGAUGGCGAAGGCAGCUUACUAAACUGCCACUGACAUUGAUGCUCGAAAGUGUGGGUAGCAAACAGGAUUAGAUACCCCUGUAGUC
This 460-nucleotide ribosomal RNA is filed under the name uncultured bacterium. RNAcentral describes it as "partial 16S ribosomal RNA". It matches the Rfam family "Bacterial small subunit ribosomal RNA", at positions 338 to 795 of the family's 1533-position model. The record is from RNAcentral.